This 72-nucleotide transfer RNA is filed under the name Lepisosteus oculatus (spotted gar). It matches the Rfam family "tRNA". From Rfam's summary of the family: Transfer RNA (tRNA) molecules are approximately 80 nucleotides in length. Lineage: Eukaryota; Metazoa; Chordata; Actinopteri; Semionotiformes; Lepisosteidae. The record is from Rfam by way of RNAcentral.
GACCUCAUGGUGCAACAGUAUCGCAUCUGACCCCAGAUCAGAAGGUUGCUUGUUCAAAUCACGUCGGGGUCA